UACAGAGGGUGCAAACGUUGUUCGGAAUCACUGGGCAUAAAGCGCACGUAGGCGGCUCAGCCAGUGCGGAGUGAAAGCCCACGGCUCACCCGUGGAAUUGCUUCGCAUACUACUGAGCUCGAGUGCAGGAGAGGAGAGCGGAACUCUUGGUGGAGCGGUGAAAUGCGUAGAUAUCAAGAGGAACACCAAAGGCGAAGGCAGCUCUCUGGCCUGUGUCUGACGCUGAGGUGCGAAAGCCAGGGUAGCGAACGGG
This 253-nucleotide ribosomal RNA is filed under the name uncultured bacterium. Its description in RNAcentral is "partial 16S ribosomal RNA". It matches the Rfam family "Bacterial small subunit ribosomal RNA", at positions 524 to 776 of the family's 1533-position model. The record is from RNAcentral.